GCCAGACUCCUACGGGAGGCAGCAGUGGGGAAUAUUGGGCAAUGGGCGCAAGCCUGACCCAGCAACGCCGCGUGAAGGAAGAAGGCUUUCGGGUUGUAAACUUCUUUUAUGAGGGACGAAACAAAUGACGGUACCUCAUGAAUAAGCCACAGCUAACUACGUGCCAGCAGCCGCGGUAAUACGUAGGGGGCAAGCGUUGUUCGGAAUGACUGGGCGUAAAGGGUGCGUAGGCGGUGUAGCAAGUUAGAAGUGAAAUACCUAGAGCUUAACUCAGGUGCUGCUUCUAAAACUGCUAUACUUGAGUGCAGUAGAGGAAAGUGGAAUUCCUAGUGUAGCGGUGGAAUGCGUAGAUAUUAGGAGGAACAUCAGUGGCGAAGGCGACUUUCUGGACUGUAACUGACGCUGAGGCACGAAAGUGUGGGGAGCAAACAGGAUUAGAUACCCUAGUAA
RNAcentral lists this ribosomal RNA (450 nucleotides) under uncultured bacterium. RNAcentral's name for it is "partial 16S ribosomal RNA". It matches the Rfam family "Bacterial small subunit ribosomal RNA", at positions 330 to 793 of the family's 1533-position model. The record is from RNAcentral.